GGCCUCAAAUCAGACAAGAGUACCCGCUGAACUUAAGCAUAUCAAUAAGCGGAGGAAAAGAAACUAACAAGGAUUCCCCUAGUAACGGCGAGUGAAGCGGGAACAGCUCAAAUUUUAAAUCUGGCUGCUUUGUAGUCCGAGUUGUAAUUUGAAGGAGUCUUGCCGCUGGCAAAACGAUGGCACAAGUCCUCUGGAACGGGGCAUCGUAGAGGGUGAGAAUCCCGUCUCUGGUCAUCACGCGCUGGCAUACGGCAGGCAUCCGAAGAGUCGAGUUGUUCGGGAUUGCAGCUCCAAAUGGGUGGUAAACUCCAUCUAAGGCUAAAUAUUGGCGAGAGACCGAUAGCGAACAAGUACCGUGAGGGAAAGAUGAAAAGAACUUUGAAAAGAGAGUAAAACAGUACGUGAAAUUGUUGAAAGGGAAACGAUUGAAG
RNAcentral lists this ribosomal RNA (431 nucleotides) under uncultured Paraglomus. RNAcentral describes it as "eukaryotic LSU rRNA". It matches the Rfam family "Eukaryotic large subunit ribosomal RNA", at positions 1 to 428 of the family's 3401-position model. The record is from RNAcentral. Lineage: Eukaryota; Fungi; Glomeromycota; Glomeromycetes; Paraglomerales; Paraglomeraceae.